Molecule: ribosomal RNA, 492 nt
Filed under: uncultured bacterium
Lineage: Bacteria
Description: partial 16S ribosomal RNA
Rfam family: Bacterial small subunit ribosomal RNA
Source: RNAcentral
AGUGAACGCUGGCGGUAGGCCUAACACAUGCAAGUCGAACGGCAGCACAGUAAGAGCUUGCUCUUACGGGUGGCGAGUGGCGGACGGGUGAGGAAUACAUCGGAAUCUACUUUUUCGUGGGGGAUAACGUAGGGAAACUUGCGCUAAUACCGCAUACGACCUACGGGUGAAAGCAGGGGAUCUUCGGACCUUGCGCGAUUGAAUGAGCCGAUGUCGGAUUAGCUAGUUGGCGGGGUAAAGGCCCACCAAGGCGACGAUCCGUAGCUGGUCUGAGAGGAUGAUCAGCCACACUGGAACUGAGACACGGUCCAGACUCCUACGGGAGGCAGCAGUGGGGAAUAUUGGACAAUGGGCGCAGGCCUGAUCCAGCCAUACCGCGUGGGUGAAGAAGGCCUUCGGGUUGUAAAGCCCUUUUGUUGGGAAAGAAAAGCAGCAGGUUAAUACCCCGCUGUUCUGACGGUACCCAAAGAAUAAGCACCGGCUAACUUCGUG